CUCGGAAUCACUGGGCGUAAAGGGCGCGUAGGCGGCGUUUUAAGUCGGGGGUGAAAGCCUGUGGCUCAACCACAGAAUGGCCUUCGAUACUGGGACGCUUGAGUAUGGUAGAGGUUGGUGGAACUGCGAGUGUAGAGGUGAAAUUCGUAGAUAUUCGCAAGAACACCAGUGGCGAAGGCGGCUUACUGGCUCGUAACUGACGCUGA
Molecule: ribosomal RNA, 206 nt
Filed under: Pavlova sp. CCMP459
Lineage: Eukaryota; Haptophyta; Pavlovophyceae; Pavlovales; Pavlovaceae
Description: partial Bacterial small subunit ribosomal RNA
Rfam family: Bacterial small subunit ribosomal RNA
Source: RNAcentral